UUUGUAAGUCAACAAUGGGCGUGAGAGAAGCAAUCAGGGGCAGGAGUGGCCUAAGCGUUAGCCCAAAAUCCGAAAAUGUCGCAGUGAAAAACUUGUGGAAAGGACUUGCGGCCAAGAGGCACAACGGGCAAGGACUUCACGAACUGCAAAAGUGAAGAAAAAUUGUGGAAAACUUUGGCUGAUUUCGCCCAGUGCGCUUCAUUUAUUUCAACGAUUUGUUGCCGGGACAGGCCAGGAGAAAAAGCAGAACCAGAACCAGGAGCAGGAGCAGAAGCAGGAGCAGGAUUGUGUCCAAAGAGCAGCUGUUUUACUUCUUGAUGGGUCCGCAGAAGCACCCAACAGAGAAAUCCCCUCCAGAAAUGCCCCCUGCCUCACAUUCUGACUUUAUCGCUUGACAUAAUUAGAUCCACGCAACUAAGGCUGCAACUUUCCAAGAACAUCUACAGCCAUACAAUUUGGCCUAAUUGGACUCGGAAAAUAAUGGCAGACUGCAAGGCAGCAAUGAAUCAAAGGAUUUUAUCACGAGACAACUAUGUGUGCUGUGUCUUUAGUAUGACAAGUCGGUGACAAGGUCCUGGUUCUUGAUUGAUUCAGUACUGCCGAGGUACUUCUAUUGGCUAUCACAGUGAUUGAUUCGGUAGUAAAAAGGUAUUUUUGCGCUGACCCAGUUUGCGGCGCAUUCAAUAUUGAACAUUUCGAAAUAUAGUUCUUCACAGGUAAGAAGUAUAUGUGCUUCUUGUUUAAGAUUAUCUCUUUGCAUACCGUGUAGCCAAUUUUUUUGUACUGAAAGAUUUUCAUCUGAAAAACAAGCUUAUUCUGUAGCACAUGGCCUUGCCAAUCCAACCCGAGGAUGUAGCUCAGAAGUCCAACUGAAAAAGUCCAAGAGGUGGGUAUCCGGUAGUCGCAAUACUACCCUGCGGCUAUCCUUUAGCCCGGCAGUGCUGUUGUUGCCCAACGCAGCGUAUUAAGCCCGUAAACAAGUCUACAAGCAAUGACUCCGGUUAAGGCAGCGCCAAGGGCUACGGAUACGGCUCCGAAAACGACUACGGGGAGAGAGCCAGAGGCUGUGGCUCCUACUGGGCUGCAGCCCUGAGCAUGAUUUGUUGCUGACAGCGUCUCAGGCAGCAGGAGCAGCAGCAGAAGCAGCAGGAGCAGCAGCAGGAGGAGCAGCAGCAUUGGCCGGAGUCGAGGCUGGGUUUGAUUUAUUUCUCGUUGUACAAUUUAUGAGUGAAGGUGAAGCGGCAGCAACAACAGCACCAACAGCACCACAACAUCCGGCCCAAGGAUCCCUCCAUCGGCCGGACGCACGGCCGGGCUCAGCUCUUGCAAUUCAUUGGGCUGAACCCGAGAAGCGUCCUUCCAAAGGGGUCAUGUUCCGGAAUCCGACAGAGGCAGUGGGCUGAGUCCUGGUACGGGGACUGUGAAUGUGACUGUCAGGCAGCGCGUGUUUUAGAUGCGUAAGAUUCCCCAAAAGAUUUGCGAAAUGCCGGGGGGAAAAGAAAAGCGGGCACCACGACAUGCUUACGCCCAUGUACCCAGCUACUCCGCCCUUCUGGCCCCCCGUUUUUUAAACCCUCUCCUUUUCGCCGGAUUGUGAUGGAUGCUCGCCUACUUUGGGCUUUGGGCUCCAGGCUGUGCGGUUUGCGAAGAUGUUCCAUCUUCUCGCUGGAGCCACCAGCCACAAGCAGUCCUUGCGUGCAGACCCAUUAGCGGCUGGGAACGUCUUUUAUUUCAAUUACCACCACCUUAUGCAAAAUUCAGCGAACACUUGGCAAUAAGGAGAUGCGUUAUGCGGCGUGUUUCAUCCUUGCGAGUCCUCCUUACCCGGCCAUUACUCAUUGUGUUGCCUGCUUGGCGGCGCCUUUGAAGCACUUGGAAUUGUCACUGGAGUCCCUGCAUUCAGGUACUUACUGCCAAGAUAUCCCAUUGUGGCAACAAACUUUGUCCGAGAACUUCGCCUGUAAUUGCCGUCAGACAGUGAAGCGUGGAGUGUGGAGUGUGAAUUAUGCACGCCUCAAAUGUUUCAAUUACCCUGCUCCAGGCACACCUGUCGUCGCACUUUCCCUUCCCUUCCCGAAAAAAGUGAAAGUGUUCCGGCUUUGAUGCUUCGUUGCCCGGGAAGCAGGGAGGUUGCAAAGUAUGUACUGAUGACCCGACCUGACCUUAUCGUAUUUCAAUUACCGCUGACACCCACAACGCACCGCCCCGGCAAUUAAGCGGCAUAAUCCGGGUCGCAGGAUGUCGGAGGCGGAAUUGAAUUCGCCGAAGGGAGACGUCCACAUUCAUAUCGCCAUCAAUCAUUGGACGAGAAAAUGAAAUUGCAACCGAUUCAUCAUAAUUAAUCUAGAUCUCGCCUAUCUAUUAUUAAGAUUAAACAUUUAUUUACAUUCGUUA
Molecule: long non-coding RNA, 2394 nt
Organism: Drosophila yakuba
Lineage: Eukaryota; Metazoa; Arthropoda; Insecta; Diptera; Drosophilidae
Exons: 2
Source: RefSeq, a predicted model, not a curated record